Molecule: transfer RNA, 74 nt
Filed under: Pica pica (Eurasian magpie)
Lineage: Eukaryota; Metazoa; Chordata; Aves; Passeriformes; Corvidae
Also listed under: 3 other names
Description: tRNA-Asn
Source: RNAcentral
UAGGCAGAAGCCUGUUGGUUUAGGGCAUAUAGCUGUUAACUAUAGUGUCGUGGGAUCGAAGCCCAUCUGUCUAG